GACGUAGGAUGCAAGCGUUAUCCGGAAUUAUUGGGCGUAAAGAGUUCGUAGGUGGUCUGUUAAGUUGGAUGUCAAAGCCAUGAGCUCAACUCAUGACAGGUGUUCAAAACUGGCAGGCUGGAGACAGGCAGAGGUAGGUAGAAUUCUGUAUGUAGGGGUAAUAUCCGUAGAUAUACAGAGGAAUACCAAAAGCGAAGGCAGCCUACUGGGCCUGUUCUGACACUCAAGAACGAAAGCGUGGGGAGCAAACGGG
This 253-nucleotide ribosomal RNA is filed under the name uncultured bacterium. RNAcentral describes it as "partial 16S ribosomal RNA". It matches the Rfam family "Bacterial small subunit ribosomal RNA", at positions 524 to 776 of the family's 1533-position model. The record is from RNAcentral.